CUACGUGCCAGCAGCCGCGGUAAUACGUAGGGUGCGAGCGUUAAUCGGAAUUACUGGGCGUAAAGCGAGCGCAGACGGUUACUUAAGCAGGAUGUGAAAUCCCCGGGCUCAACCUGGGAACUGCGUUCUGAACUGGGUGACUAGAGUGUGUUAGAGGGAGGUAGAAUUCCACGUGUAGCAGUGAAAUGCGUAGAGAUGUGGAGGAAUACCGAUGGCGAAGGCAGCCUCCUGGGAUAACACUGACGUUCAUGCUCGAAAGCGUGGGUAGCAAACAGGAUUAGAUACCCUGGUAGUCCACGCCCUAAACGAUGUCAAUUAGCUGUUGGGCAACUUGAUUGCUUAGUAGCGUAGCUAACGCGUGAAAUUGACCGCCUGGGGAGUACGGUCGCAAGAUUAAAACUCAAAGGAAUUGACGGGGACCCGCACAAGCGGUGGAUGAUGUGGAUUAAUUCGAUGCAACGCGAAGAACCUUACCKGUCUUGACAU
Molecule: ribosomal RNA, 486 nt
Filed under: uncultured bacterium
Lineage: Bacteria
Description: bacterial SSU rRNA
Rfam family: Bacterial small subunit ribosomal RNA
Source: RNAcentral